Molecule: ribosomal RNA, 332 nt
Filed under: uncultured bacterium
Lineage: Bacteria
Description: bacterial SSU rRNA
Rfam family: Bacterial small subunit ribosomal RNA
Source: RNAcentral
AGAGUUUGAUUCUGGCUCAGGACGAACGCUGGCGGCGUGCUUAACACAUGCAAGUCGAACGAUGAAGCCUGUAACUUGUUGUGGGUGGAUUAGUGGCGAACGGGUGAGUAAUACGUGAGUAACCUGCCCUCCUUUUUGGGAUAAGCCUUGGAAACGGGGUCUAAUACCGGAUAUUCUGGCAUGCUCGCAUGGGUGUGUUGGGAAAGCUUUAUGUGAAGGGGGAUGGGCUCGCGGCCUAUCAGCUUGUUGGUGGGGUGAUGGCCUACCAAGGCGGUGACGGGUAGCCGGCCUGAGAGGGUGACCGGCCACAUUGGGACUGAGAUACGGCCCAG